RNAcentral lists this small nucleolar RNA (1379 nucleotides) under Drosophila melanogaster (fruit fly). Lineage: Eukaryota; Metazoa; Arthropoda; Insecta; Diptera; Drosophilidae. The record is from RNAcentral.
ACGCAUGCAAAGCUGACCGUAUGGGCUCGUCUCCUUUAAAAACUGAUGCAAUGAUAAAUGUAAUAAAAUGAUACACAUACCGCACCAGAACGGCAAUUUGAAUGGAUCACCAUUUACACGUGGUGCAAUGUGAGAUACCUGGAGACACUUAGAAAUAUUCUGGGGUAAGUUUACAAGAAAUACUAUUGUUUCAGCUUAUUUAACAACCCAUAAUGACUUUCUACCCAAUGCAUACAUCAUGUUGCAAAAUGGAUAAAAAAUUAGGUUAAAGGAAAGAUAACUGCAUAUUCACAUUUGUCAUUAACAAUAUAAAAUUGGCAUUUGGUUAAAGUUGGGUUAAAUAAGAUUUUAAAUUAUGGUAAAUUACAUGGUGAUACAUUAUAAAUGUGAAGAGCAUUCCACGUAAUUACUUAGUGCACAAGUUAAGUGUGCUUGACUAUUCCGUAUAUAUAGGCAAAGAAAUGAAAAUCUGCUGUUUCCCAAUUAUAAAAACUGUGGAAAAAAUAUGUUUUAUAAAUUUACAAGUGUAAUAUUUUUGUAUUUUUACAGGCAUUGAAAACAGCCGGGAGCCUGGGAUACAAUCUAAUCAUGCCUUGAUCUCCCUUAAAGGGUAAUGUAAUCCUCCGCACCAUUUGAGUACAAAUUAUUUUAAUUCCCAAAUUGAUGACAACUUCAUACCCAAAUCAGAGAAAUAAUGUUGAAAUCUUUUUAACAUGCAUCACCAUCUGAAUAAAAUAUUGAAACUUAGUUUAUGUAUAAUAGUAUUUGUAUAAUUAAACAGUCUUUGUGUAUUUUACAGAAAUAUUUCCAGAUAUUGGGAUUCCUAUUCAAAACUGAAAUUUGACUGAACCAGUGAUAAGGUAAAUCCUCACUAAAUUAAAUGUUUUCUUACUCCUUAAUUGAUGACAACUUCAUACUCAAAUCAGAGAAAUUAUGUUGAAAUCCUUUUAACAUGCAUCACCAUCUGAAUCAAGUACAUUUUAUCAAAUUUUAAGGCAAUAAGGGCCAAUUAAUAAUUUAUAUUCUCUCUUUUAUUUUGCAGGAAAUAUAAACUAAUGAUACUUUCACAAGAUUUACAACUGAUUCGGUUGGAAAAACCUAAAAGGUAUUGCCAAUGUAAAAUAUUAUUUAUUUAUUUAAACUGCCUUCUUGAUGACAACUUCAUACCCAACUCAGAAAAACUAUGUUGAAAUCUUUUUAACAUGCAUCACCAUCUGAUUAAAAAUAUGCAUAUUUAGUUAUGAUGAAUGAAAUAUAGAUUACUAAUAAAGGUUUUCUUUUUGACUUUUCAGGUAGUCUAGCCACGUGCUAAAUCGCAAUCUUUUAACAAAGUUUUUCUUUAUAUAUAAAAUAAAUUCUUUAUUUAUGUGUACAAAAUA